This 7213-nucleotide long non-coding RNA is filed under the name Malus domestica (apple). RNAcentral's name for it is "long non-coding RNA (MDOM_LNC006658)". The record is from RNAcentral. Lineage: Eukaryota; Viridiplantae; Streptophyta; Magnoliopsida; Rosales; Rosaceae.
AGGUCUUUAUUUUUCAUAAAUAAAUAUCUCAACCAUAAUCUUUUGAUACAAGCGAGACAUUGGCAGAUGAAAAUUGAAGGGAGGACAUCAGGUGCAAAGAAAAACACUCAUACCAACUAGAGCUACAAGUUACUUGAUCAACUCAAGUACUAUUAUUAAAAUCCACAGAAUUUUCAAACUGAAUCCGCCAACUUGGGUUCUUCGGUUGUUGUGGGGGGAACAUAUUCACCAAAACCACAAGCCUCUUCCUCAACAAAACCCAUCAUCUCUAACCCUAAAAACUGCAUGAACCAAAAUAAUUGGCACCGUACAAGCUAAAGUCACAAACAGAUAUUCGGCUGCAUCCGUAAGUAUGAGCUCAAUCGUCGUCCCAAUGGCCAACAAAACCAGCAUCAAACGCCUUUCGACGGUCUUGUGCAGCAGCAGAGAAUCAGGUACUACCCUCAACAGCGCAAGGUACGAACAUCCCGCUGCCGUCAUUAUCACCAAGAAAAUUAGAGACAUCCGGCGCUGAGGCACUAGGGUUAUGGAGAGUACGAUCCAUAUGAAGAGUGUGUAGUACGAUCCGAAGUAACCAAAGUUUCGGGUGAAGCGAACCGCGGCAGCUUCUGGGGUUGCCGGGAUGUUGAAGAAGCAGAAGAGCUUGAAGUCCUUGCUCAUUUUUCCGGUUGAAUCUUUCGGUUUAUGGGGAUCAUCAGUAGGUGUUGGUGUGGAGAUGGUGGACGGCCUUUUCAUGGUGCCGUAGUCAGCCAUUUUCUGACCAAACAAAUAUGGUGUUUAAUUUGAAUUGAAGGGAUUAGAAAGGUACUCGCUGAUGUUUUGGAUCGAAUAAGUUAUAAGUUUUGAAAGGGUAAUGCAUUUGUAUAUAUACACACACGCAUGAUAGAGAGUGACAGUAGCAACUUCAAGGAAAUAAGUCAAGACGGACGUUUUAAACAAAGUGACGAUUACUACGACAUUUUUGUCCACAUUUGAGUGGAAAUUUCAGGGUGAAUUACAAGAAGAGCGUCCUGGCUAAAAACAAAUCUGUUGCUGUGCGGUAAGUUAAUUUCAAAUUCUCGAAUUCUCAGAUUUGUUUGGUUAAUUCUCUUGAUACAUAAGAGAUACUCUUAUUACCAGUUCAUCACAUGACAAGUUUUUAAUAUACAAAUGACAUACUUUUCGUAUCCUUGACAAACAUAUGUUCAACGAUUAAAUAGGGCUGUAAGUAGAUAGGAUAAAAUUAUUUCUUAUUUUGUUCCUUAUUGUAAAUAGAGUUGUAAGUAAUUUCCACAUUUAUGUAAAUAAUAUUGCCUAUUCAAUACAUUUACAACUUUCAGAAUGUUUUAUAUGGUUCUAAAACCCGCAGCAUAGCAUGGGCACUCUUUUCUAGUUUGAGCUAAAAGAAACAAAAUGAUAAAUUUGGCAUGGCUCGUUCAACGUAUCCUCUCUUGUUUGUAGGGGUGGGCACUAUUAGGAAAAAAUAUUUCUCAUUAAUUCAAUGCAUAACUUUCACUUUCAGUAUUUAUACAAGGCUAUCACAACCAUCACAGUUGUCAUCACAACUAACAAAAGGAAUAACUAAACUAACUAACUAAACAUUCCUUAGCCUCUAAGUAUUAUCCCUUGAAGGUGUAAUUACAUUUUUAUCCUUAAUAUCCCCCCGCAAACGAGAUUGUGGUAUUCGCAGUUGUAGUUCGUCACGAAGAAGGAUGAACCGAGGCUGUGAUAGAGAUUUGGUGCAAAUAUCUGCUACCUGAUCCUGUGUACAGAUAAACUGCACAGAAACUUGAUUGGCUAGAACCUCUUCACGAAUAUAAUGGUAAUCAAUCUCGACAUGCUUUGUUCUAGCAUGAAAAAUGGGAUUUUGCUAAGGAAAUGGCAGAGAGAUUGUCACACCAGAUCUUGAGAAAAUGAGGUAGAGAAUAAGAAAUGUCAGCCAGCAAUUUACAUAUCCAUGUGAUUUCUGCAACUGUAUUGGCAAGAGAUCGAUAUUCAGCUUCAGUUGAGGAACGAGCAACAGUAGGUUGCUUCUUGGCACUCCAACUAAUGAGAGAGUUGCCAAAAUAUACACAAUAUCCACCUGUGGAUCUUCUGUCCAAAGAACACCCUGCCCAAUCGGCAUCUGAAAAAGCUUGAAGAGAUGGAGCCUGAGAUGACUUGGAGAACCAUAAUCCAAGGUCAAGAGAACCCUUAAGAUAUCUGAGAAUACGUUUUACUGCUUGUAGAUAUGAAAGUCUUGGACUAUGCAUAAACUGACAUACCAAAUUAACAGCAAAACUAAGAUCAGGUCUAGUCCCGGUUAAGUACUGAAGAGCUCCAACUAGAGAUCGAUAUUCAGAAGCAUUUUCAAGCAGGGGAUACGAGUGAUCCAGCUUGGUGGUACUGAGAGGGGUGCUGCAGGGCUUGGCACCUUCCAUUUUUGCUUUUUCCAAUAGAUCCAAAAUAUACUUGGUUUGAGAGAUUAAAAGACCAGAAGAUGAUCUUUUAACUUCAAUACCAAGGAAGUAGUGAAGGGCACCAAGAUCCUUGAUGGGAAAAAGGGCACUGAGUUGAGUGAUGACUUAUUGACAAGCUGCAGAUGAGGGGCCGGUGACUAAGAUGUCAUCUACAUAGAGUAGGAUGAAUGCCGGAGUAGGAAAACUCUUGAUAAACAGAGAAUGAUCACUUUCAGAGUCUUGAAACCCAAGAGAAUGCAGAGCACUAUGAAGCUUGUCAUACCAAGCUCGAGGAGCCUGUUUCAAACCAUAAAGGAAUCUGUGAAUAUGACAAACAUGAUGUGGUUUUGUUGGAUCUUCAAAGCCAGGUGGCUGUUGCAUAAACACUGAUUCAGUAAGUGUGCCAUGGAGAAAGGCAUUACUGAUAUCUAAUUGAUUGAGGAACCAAUCAAAUUGAGCAGCAAGAGUGAGAAUGAGACGAAUAGUCACUAGUUUGGCCACUUAACUAAAGGUUUCAGUGUAGUCAAGACCCUCUUGUUGGUGAAACCCUUUAGCAACCAAGCGGGCUUUGUACCUGUCAAUAGAGCCAUCUGGUUUCCUUUUGAUCCGAAACACCCACUUACAUCCCACAAGAUUAUGAGAAGAAGAAGGUGGUACAAGGGACCAUGUACCAGUUGUUACAAGGGCAUUGAACUCCUCUUGCAUUGCUAUAUGCCAAUGAGAGUGUUUAGAAGCUUGUAGGUAGGUUGUAGGAACAUAGUCAACUACAAGAUGGAAAGGAAUAGGGUGCUUGGUUGUAGCUAAUGCUUUGGAUUUGAAUAUGCCAGAUUUGGAUCUGGUUUGCAUUAGGUGGUUGCUAAUAGGUAAUAUAGGCUGGGAUGAGUGGGGAUUUGGGGAAGCUGCAGAGGUUUGGAUCUGGUAUGGAGAAGCUGCAAAGUUUGGGAUCUGGUUUGGAGAAACGGCAGAGGUUGUAUUUUAGGAGGUUGUAUUUGGUGUAGAGGUAUGAUGAGGAAGAUAAGAGGUAAAUGUGAGUGAUGAGGGAAUAGAGGAUUGGUAUAAGGGAGAUGAGGAGACAGGUUGGGAUGGAGAAGGUUGGAAGGUAUGAAAUGGAAAAGUUGACUCAUCAAAUAGGACAUGCCUUGAAAUACAACAUGUGAGUAGAUGGGUGUAAACACAGGUAGCCCUUGUGAUUUAAGCUAUAUCCCAAGACCACACAGGGCUUGCUUUUAGGAUCUAGUUUUGAGGAUGUGUAUGGUUUCAACCAAGGGAAACAACUACAACCAAAAACCUUGAGAGAUUUAUAGUCAUGUGCUUUCUGGAAAAUAGACUGCCAAGGAGAGUAUCUGGAUAUAGUAGGUAACCUGUUGAUGAGAUAGCCAGAGGUAGCAAAAGCCUCAACCCAAUAAGCAUGAGGCACUUUAGAUGCUGCCAAUAGGGUUCGAGAAGUCUCGACAAUAUGUCGAUGCUUAUGUUCUGCACACUCAUUUUGCUUGAGGGUGUAAGGACAAGUGAGCUAAUGAUGAAUGCCAUGGCUAGCUAAGAACUGAGAGAAUGCAAUGCUAACAAAUUCACCACCAGAAUCUGAGCGUAAUGUAAUAACUUUUGUACACAGAGAAUUCUCAACAAGUAAUUUCCAUUGCAUAAAAGUGGAGAGGACAUCAGAUUUACACUUUAAAGGAUAGAACCAACAAUAUCUGGUAUAGUCAUCUAUGAAAAUGACAUAAUACCGAAAACCAUGAUGAGACAUUAUGGGUGAGGGUCCCCAAACAUCCGUAUGGAUAAGUUUUAAAGGCUUGCGGGUUGUACAAGUAGUACUAGAAAAAGGAAGUUUAGAACAUUUCCCUAGGGCACAAGCUGAGCAAAAAGUUUUAUUUGAAGCACCAAGAAGAGAAAUACAUAAUUGAGAGGCCAACUUAUUCAUGAUCUUUACAGAAGGGUGGCCCAAUCUUUGAUGCCAAAGAUGCUUUAUAUGGGGGUGGCCUCACGGGUAGUGUAGAAGCCAUCUGGAGUAGAAGACUCGACGGCUUUCUGGGCGGAAAUGGGGAAGUGGGUGGAGGCCCGCAAGGCGGACAAGUCGGAGGUGUAGGACUAUGUUGGGUUGGUGGGCCGGAUCUGUGCAUUGAGCUUGGCGGGGUUGAAGACCGAGGGGUCAACGUGGCCGGUGCUUUACUCAGAAUCCAUGAAGGUGUUGGGUCUGAUCAAAGAACAGCUCAAAAAGCCGGUUUAGGGAGUACCCAGAUGCCGAAAUGUUUGAAAGAUUGCAAGUUUGCAACGUUUUUCAUGAAGGGGGCCCAUUUUGUUGGAUGAGCCCACCUCAGGGUUGGACUCCACUACAGCUCAGCGAAUCCUGACCACACUAAAAAGGCUUGCUAGUGGGGUCUGUGUCUUCUCCAUUUCAUGUGCUCUACUCCUACAGUUGAGCUCUCUGUGAAAGGCAUGGUUGCCUAGAAAGAUAAAAGAGAGAGAGAGAUAGAAAAUGGGUUUUUGGAUGGUUUCUUAAAACUGCACAGAGUCUGCGAAGGUUUUCUGGAAAAGCACAAAGAGUGAGGUUUUCUGGGUUUUUGGGUUUCUGCAGAUUCACGGCGGAGGUGAAAAAGUGAAAGAGAACCGACAUAACUUUUCGUGUCGAUUCCCACAUACGGUGCCUCGCGUCGAUUCCCACAGACGGUGCCAAAUGUUGAUGCACAAAACCGGAGGGGUCUUGGGACAACGUAAAUCCGACCGUGAAUCUGCAAGAAAGUAAAUAACACAAGAUGUAUCGUGGUUCACCCUCAAUGUUUGGGCUACAUCCACACUGAUAUUUUAUUUCUCUGUGAUGUUGAAGAGGAUGGUGAGGCAGAGAGAGUUUGUGAGGUGAGAGUCAGGCCUCUGGGGUGAGGAGGCCCCCCCAAUUGUAAGGGUAAGGAGUCCCUUUUAUAGAAUAAGGGCUCUUCACUUAUUACAUCUUUGCCUCUUCCUUUAUUACAUAAUUACAUUUGAGUCCCCCGAGUAUUUAUACGAGGUCUAAAUACGGAGGCCCUAAAUAUGGUACAAACAAGAUUCAAACAUAAAAAUACUACUAGUUAGUAGUAAUUUGCAAUUCUAAAGUAAUUUUAAAGUACAAAAUUUGAGUCCAAUUAAUAACCCAAGAACCAAGAGGUUUUCUACGUUAAGGAUGUCAUCAAUUUUUUUCAAAAAUAUAGAAAAGGACUUUCCACAUCUUUCUUUAACAUCUUUCUUUAAGGCUACCCAUAAUGUAUUUUAAUAAUCAAAACAGUCUACAUUUUAUAUUUUAUUUCGAUAAUCAUCACAUAAAAAUUUUCAAGAAAAUUAAUUAGUCAUCUUAAAUUUUCAAGAAAUUAUAAUUUAUUGGAUAAAAUAAAAUGAAACUGUAGAUAAUCAAAUCGUAAAGAGGAAUGCUAGCAAUCUUCUCAUGUUGACAUUUUCGUUUAACUUUUUCAUCUCCCCAUCUCAUCUUGCAAUGUUGCUUAAUGAUUGGAACAGUCUACUUUUUACAUCACUAUUUAAAAAUCAUCAAUGCAAAAUAUUAACUAAACACGAAAUCAUUUAGUCAUCCAAUGGUUAUCCAAUAAAUAAACAAACCAUGUUUGUCAUUAUACACUUAAUUUUUUACCAUAUUUAUCAAACAAUUAAAUGAUAUAUUUGAUUAUUGGUUGAUUUUUUUACAGAGAUGAUUUUUAAAGUGUGAUCAAGAAAGUAGACGGUUUUGGUAAUCAAGCAACAUUGCAAGAUGAGGAGAGCCGAGAAGGUAGAACAAGAAUGUCCAAAUAACAACGUUGGUAGCAUCCUAAUGAUAAACCAAUUUCAUUUUUAACCCAUUUUUUGCAAGUAUAUUAAGAGAAAUUAAAAUUUGAACAAUUAUGAUCAUUGGAUUAAAACCAAAAAAUAGGUCUUUAUUUUUCUUAAAUAAAUAUCUCAACCAUAAUCUUUUGAUACAAGCGAGACAUUGGCAGAUGAAAAUUGAAGGGAGGACAUCAGGUGCAAAGAAAAACACUCAUACCAACUAGAGCUACAAGUUACUUGAUCAACUCAAGUACUAUUAUUAAAAUCCACAGAAUUUUCAAACUGAAUCCGCCAACUUGGGUUCUUCGGUUGUUGUGGGGGGAACAUAUUCACCAAAACCACAAGCCUCUUCCUCAACAAAACCAUCAUCUCUAACCCUAAAAACUGCAUGAACCAAAAUAAUUGGCACCGUACAAGCUAAAGUCACAAACAGAUAUUCGGCUGCAUCCGUAAGUAUGAGCUCAAUCAUCGUCCCAAUGGCCAACAAAACCAGCAUCAAACGCCUUUCGACGGUCUUGUGCAGCAGCAGAGAAUCAGGUACUACCCUCAACAGCGCAAGGUACGAGCAUCCCGCUGCCGUCAUUAUCACCAAGAAAAUUAGAGACAUCCGGCGCUGAGGCACUAGGGUUAUGGAGAGUACGAUCCAUAUGAAGAGUGUGUAGUACGAUCCGAAGUAUCCAAAGUUUCGGGUGAAGCGAACCGCGGCAGCUUCUGGGGUUGCCGGGAUGUUGAAGAAGCAGAAGAGCUUGAAGUCCUUGCUCAUUUUUCCGGUUGAAUCUUUCGGUUUAUGGGGAUCAUCAGUAGGUGUUGGUGUGGAGAUGGUGGACGGCCUUUUCAUGGUGCCGUAGUCAGCCAUUUUCUGACCAAACAAAUAUGGUGUUUAAUUUGAUUUGAAGGGAUUAGAAAGGUACUCGCUGAUGUUUUGGAUCGAAUAAGUUAUAAGUUUUGAAAGGGUAAUGCAUUUGUAUAUAUACACACACGCAUGAUAGAGAGUGACAGUAGCAACUUCAAGG